Molecule: long non-coding RNA, 1870 nt
Organism: Pieris napi
Lineage: Eukaryota; Metazoa; Arthropoda; Insecta; Lepidoptera; Pieridae
Exons: 3
Source: RefSeq, a predicted model, not a curated record
GUAGAAGCUGACCUUGACCAGUUAGCAAUGUGUUAUUUAUAAAAAACAAAAGGUGACGGGAUUUGGACGUUAUGAAUCUCAACUUUUGAUAUAAAAGGAGGUGACUAAAUAGAAUAGUUUUAUAUUCACCUCCGAAGAUCACCAAAUAUGAGACAAAUUAUUGUUCUGGCCGUUGUCAUCGCAUUAGUGGCGGGAGCAGCCGUACCAUCCAAAUACUGGAAAACCAGACAUGACUACUAUUCUCCUACCGAAAUACUCAAUUUGCGCAUUGACGUAGAUAACAUUGGACUCGGAAACAGAUACGAUUAUGAACAAAUAGACGGCACAAGACAAGAACAAGAAGGAGACUUCACAAACGAAGGACCCGAAGAGGAGGCUAUAGUGGUCAAAGUUUCUUUUUCGUGGGUGGCACCAAAUGGCGUGAGGUACACUGUGACCUACACCUCUGGUGACGAAGGAGACCCAACGUUGGAGGAAGGUCCCGGUUCCGGUCCCGGUUCCGGUCCCGGUUCCGGUCCCGGUGCCGAACAGGACGAGAGUCCCAUUCUUCCAAGUGAUCUUUAUCCUUCACUAUUAGGUUAGAUAAAUGCGUUGUUAUAAUUGUAAUUAAAUUUUUGUUAGUUAAUGUCGUUAGACAUAGUUAAUGUCGGUUUCAUGUACACCCUGUGGCCAAAAUGUGUUUAAAAUGUUAGAUCUGGUAUUUGUUAAUCGUUAAUUGUUAUUAGUGUGUGUAAAUCGUCAAAGCCUCUGUGACUACAAUUUUUUAUCGACGUGAGCAAUGUCGAAGACGGUAUAUUAAAUAUCAAGGAAAUAGAUAUACAAAUUGUAUGCAAGCAACAAGCGUAUCAUCAUUAGUAGCACCAUUAGUUUUUUAAAGUUCUGUUCAAAGAAAAAAUCAUGACUUUUCAAUAAUUCUGAUUAAAGUUCUAUUUCCCAUAUGUGAGGCAGCUCUUUUGACUUGUCUCGGGAUUAUUCCAGCUCUCACCUCUGCAAUGACUGAAUUCAAUAAUUAGGUACAAGUAUUUAAUAGAGCAUAGCAGUGUUGGCCUUCAGCGUGCGACUCUAAGACGAAAAAUGUACAAGAAAAAUCUUUAAAUCUAAUGAAUUAAUUAUAAUUUAUUUCAAUUUCUACGGUUGUUAAUUGAAAUUUGUUGAAUUAAACGCCUUAAAACAACUUUCCGAUUUUCAUACGAUCAAGAUAGCGUAUACCUACUGCAUUAUGCCAGUCGACAUUAUUUUGCUGCAUCUCGCUGUGGGGAGGAGUUAGGAGCAGCAUCGUCUUCAAUCCUGAAACCAGCUGAAACCUUUUCGCUUUUUUUAACUUUAAAAUUGUAUGAUGAAACUUAACAGUUAUACUUUUUUGGAAAUAAACACUGACCACACCCCAUCAUACACAACGCAAAGCUACAUAAAACGUACUUUCUUCGGCCAACGUUUUUCAUCAUUAACAUUUUAAAAACAAAAUUUUCACUCUCGAUUCUAAACUUUAUAUAUUUCCUAAGAAUCUUAAGCAACGUUUUCUAAAGCUGUCUAAUGCUCAAAACUAAACUUUGCUUCUUGUGGAACAGUAGGUAGUAAAAUUGUAGAUUUUAUUACCUUAAGUACCUACCUACCUAUAGUGAUAAGUAUGUCAAAUGAAAGACACAACUGGCCCACGACACAGGGAAUCCCAGUGGGGGCUAGUAAUUAAUAUAUUAUUAACAUCUUAUGUAAUAGGUAGUUUAUUCUACUUGUUCUUUACCUUUUUGGUGUGCUUAGAUAUUAUGUUACCACUGCUUUACCAACGCUCAGAGACGAAAUUAAUUAACUUAACAUCGGUAAGCAUCGAGAACAAUAGGUAUAUUUAUAAUAUUAAAUUUUUUACUGACUC